This 497-nucleotide ribosomal RNA is filed under the name uncultured bacterium. Its description in RNAcentral is "partial 16S ribosomal RNA". It matches the Rfam family "Bacterial small subunit ribosomal RNA", at positions 28 to 507 of the family's 1533-position model. The record is from RNAcentral.
GAUGAACGCUGGCGGCGUGCCUAAUACAUGCAAGUCGAGCGAACGGACGAGAAUCUUUCUUCUCUGAUGUUAGCGGCGGACGGGUGAGUAACACGUGGAUAACCGACCUAUAAGACUGGGAUAACUUCGGGAAACCGGAGCUAACACCGGAUAAUAUUUUGAACCGCAUGGUUCAAAAGUGAAAGACGGUCUUGCUGUCACUUAUAGAUGGAUCCGCGCUGCAUUAGCUAGUUGGUAAGGUAACGGCCUACCAAGGCGACGAUGCAUAGCCGACCUGAGAGGGUGAUCGGCCACACUGGAACUGAGACACGGUCCAGACUCCUACGGGAGGCAGCAGUAGGGAAUAUUCCGCAAUGGGCGAAAGCCUGACGGAGCAACGCCGCGUGAGUGAUGAAGGUCUUCGGAUCGUAAAACUCUGUUAUUAGGGAAGAACAUAUGUGUAAGUAAAUGUGCACAUCUUGACGGUACCUAAUCAGAAAGCAACGGCUAACUACGUG